GUAGGGUGCAAGCGUUAUCCGGAAUCAUUGGGCGUAAAGAGCUCGUAGGCGGUUCAGCAAGUCGGCUGUGAAAUCCCGAGGCUUAACCUCGGAACUGCAGUCGAUACUGCUGUGACUAGAGUCCGGUAGAGGAGAAUGGAAUUCCCGGUGUAGUGGUGAAAUGCGCAGAUAUCGGGAGGAACACCAGUAGCGAAGGCGGUUCUCUGGGCCGGUACUGACGCUGAGGAGCGAAAGCGUGGGGUAGCAAACAGGAUUAGAUACCCUGGUAGUCCACGCCGUAAACGUUGGACACUAGGUGUGGCGUUCCGACCAACGGGUGCCGUGCCGAAGCUGACGCAUUAAGUGUCCCCGCCUGGGAGUACGGCCGCAAGGCUA
Molecule: ribosomal RNA, 375 nt
Filed under: uncultured organism
Description: partial 16S ribosomal RNA
Rfam family: Bacterial small subunit ribosomal RNA
Source: RNAcentral